This 406-nucleotide ribosomal RNA is filed under the name uncultured bacterium. RNAcentral's name for it is "partial 16S ribosomal RNA". It matches the Rfam family "Bacterial small subunit ribosomal RNA", at positions 30 to 526 of the family's 1533-position model. The record is from RNAcentral.
AUUGAACGCUGGCGGCAGGCCUAACACAUGCAAGUCGAACGAGUGGCGGACGGGUGAGUAAUGUCUGGGAAACUGCCUGAUGGAGGGGUAUAACUACUGGAAACGGUAGCUAAUACCGCCUACCAUCGGAUGUUCCCAGAGUGGAUUAGCUAGUCGGUGGGGUAAAGGCUCACCUAGGCGACGAUCCCUAGCUGGUCUGAGAGGAUGACCAGCGACACGGGAACUGAGACACGGUCCAGACUCCUACGGGAGGCAGCAGUGGGGAAUGUUGCACAAUGGGCGCAAGACUGACGCAGCCAUGCCGAGUGUAUGAAGAAGGCCUUCGGUGUGGAAAGUACUUUCAUCGGGGAGGCGUUACCCGCAGAAGAAGCACCGGCUAACUCCGUGCCAGCAGCCGCGGUAAUUC